AAUACCAGUGAUGCGAUCUGGGGAGCUGGACAGUUAAGUCAUUAAUAGCUCUAGGAAAUAGAUGUUCUGCAAACAUUUUAUUGUCUUCUUAACCUAGAUUGAAUUUUCGUUAUCCCUUACUUUGCCUGAGCAUGUGACAAAGUGGCUUAUGUGAACAAAGUACUAGGACGAAGUCCAAGUUUGGCUGAAACUAAAACAAGCCAGUAAUUAGUGUACUUGCAUUCCCAUAUGGCUGUGUGAUUACUUACUUGCCCUCUUUGUGAGCUAAGCUGAUAGAAAUCACUGAAUCAUGGAUGGGAAGACUGCAUGCAAAAUGACAAAAUGUGAUGCAGAUGCGCAAAAUGCUGUUGCAACUUUCAAGAAACUUUGAAAAUCCAUUUACACAUCAUUGAAAGUUGGGAUGGCUUCUCUGUGGAUAAAAGUCAGAUGCAGGAUAAAUACUAAGCAGGCUCCCUUCUUCCUUUGAUGGUCACCAUUAGUAUCUUGAGGCAGAGAUCCUAGAGGUCUGUGCAGCUAGAAAAGCUUCCUGCUCCCUCCUCCAUCUGGUGAUUCUGCCUUUCAAAUGGGAUGCAGAGCAAAUUGCAGUGACGCAGAAAUCUGAAGAAAUAUUACUUCUUCACACUUGGAAUUGGACAUAUUUCUCCUAGAGAGCAUCUGCAGUGAUUGUGUAAUUCUUACAAGAAGAGAAGAAUCAGAACAGUGUGCUUGAAACAUCAUUGAGAUGCUCAAGGAGAAAUGAAAUGUGAAAGUCAGCACAAGACCGGGUAUUUGCAAUGCACCUGUACAGUCUUGCCAUGGUAGAGAUGUGUAUCAGUUUUUUUUGUGAGGCUUCAUAGAGUGAAAUGGAUACCAUUGUGUUGACAGUGCUAAAGAACUUGUGAAAAGCAGCAUCUGCUGUCCUAGUUCAAACAGGUCAUUAUUAUCCAUGAACAAAUAUGAAGGUGACAAUUAGUGACUGCUAAGCUUCCUUUUGGUUAUUCUCUUGGCCUGAGUCCUAAAGACACUACAUUACCAGAGCAGAAAAUGGAGUCUUGGGGAUUAAGUGCUGAAGACUCUCUCCCUUAACUUACUUCCUCCUUUAUCAGACACAGCUGAUUAGAUAGGAAGGUGUGCUGGCUGGCGCCUUCCCAUCCGACUUGUUUUUGUACCUUUCUGCUGUGUAGUGCUGGGUCAUGUUCCUAUUCAUUUUUCAUGACCUUUCCUCAUUACACCCUUUUCAAUUGCAGCUUGUUUCUGUGACCUUGGAGUCUUACGGGCCAAUCCAAAAGAUCAGGCACUGUGUUUUUAAGUUACCUUCUGAAAAGGCUGGAAACACAGAGACAUUUUUGUGCAAAGUUUAUGGGUAUGUGUAUCUUUUACUCUUUUUUUUUUUAUCAUGUAAUAUUUGGCUCAGUGCUGUAGACUAUUUUUGGAGCCUGUUAGCAACUUUAUGUAUUCUUGUUGAAUGAAUUGAAUGACU
Molecule: long non-coding RNA, 1459 nt
Organism: Pezoporus occidentalis (night parrot)
Lineage: Eukaryota; Metazoa; Chordata; Aves; Psittaciformes; Psittacidae
Exons: 4
Source: RefSeq, a predicted model, not a curated record